This is a small nucleolar RNA of Dioscorea cayenensis subsp. rotundata (Guinea yam), 107 nucleotides long. NCBI's taxonomy places the organism in Eukaryota, Viridiplantae, Streptophyta, Magnoliopsida, Dioscoreales, Dioscoreaceae. The record is from RefSeq and is a predicted model, not a curated record.
AACCCAUGUUGAGGACAUUUCUAUAGGAGCUCCGUGAACCUAUCCCAUAUCUCAAAAAGACACUCCAAUUUCAUUUGUAUAUAAGAGGAUAUUUCAUUCCUAAGCUU